RNAcentral lists this transfer RNA (73 nucleotides) under Acidobacteriota bacterium. RNAcentral's name for it is "Acidobacteria bacterium (activated sludge metagenome) tRNA-Met". It matches the Rfam family "tRNA". From Rfam's summary of the family: Transfer RNA (tRNA) molecules are approximately 80 nucleotides in length. Their secondary structure includes four short double-helical elements and three loops (D, anti-codon, and T loops). The record is from RNAcentral. RNAcentral also lists the same sequence under 1 other name. Lineage: Bacteria; Pseudomonadati; Acidobacteriota.
GGCUGAAUAGCUCAGUAGGUAGAGCAAACGUCUCAUAAGCGUUCGGUCGGCGGUUCAAUUCCGCCUUCAGCCA